UCAAAUCUGGAAAAUGAAGAUUGUUAACAGUGUUGAUGCAGAGGUUAUCUGCCGCUCUAUCACGCGUAUUAUCACGCGUUUGUUCCACGAGUGCGAAUAGAGUAAGAAUGAAUUAGAAUCGGACAGAAAUGGAAUAAUCUAUUUUCUCUUCUGAUGAAAGAUCGAAGUCCCACAUGGAUCAUCGCUUGGGAAUUAGAAAGGCUGACAUAACGGGACGAAGUAAAAUUCUAUCGGCGGAAAGUAUCGUGAAAAAUGAAAUUAUCCGGAAACCAUGCUGGCUGGCAAGUGGAAAGGGAGUUAAGCGGCCUUCGUCCGGCAAAUAAUUGAUGCACGUCAAUUAGAUUUGUCAGGGUGAUCGUCACAAUGAAAUUAACAGGAACGCCAGGCAUAGACGUACACCGCACGUACACCACGUUACAUAUAUAUAUAUAUAUAUAUAUCCAACAGUAGCGGAGCAGUAGACUUGUUUCACCUACAAGGUGUAUUGCAAAUCGGCUGACAUUGGAUUCGAUACGAUUAUCAGGCAAGUUGUUGAACCGCUUUAAAUCCAAUCAGAUACUUAUUCCCAUGAUUUCUGCGACGAAAUUAAUUUCAGUUUUGUUUCACAGGGACGGGUUUCACGUCGUCUUUCGCAUUAUUCGUUACGUUUUAAGAAAUUUUUCUCGACUCGUUACGGAAGGAUAUCGCGAAUGAUAAUUUUUUAAUGGAUGAAGCAAAUGUUUGGAAAUUUCAAUAUCGUCUUUAGUCGAUAAGCGAAGACUUAUGGGACACACUGUGUAGACGAUACACCACGUAGUCGUGUAGCAGUCUCAUGGCAGAGUAGGUGGUGUGAAAUUUAAAUUUUUCCAAUACCGGAUACCGCUAAUUCCGUUGAUCCAGUAAAACUGCUAGAAAUUCCUAUCGCGCUUUCUCGUUAACGAAGAUAACGCGAUCGUUCUGACUAUUCCGCUAAAAGAACGGCCAAUUAUCGGCCUACUUAUCGACGAUAUCCUUUCCUCCUUUUUACACCCUAAUCUCCUUCCUUCGCCCACAGAGGACAAAAUUUCAAGAUUUUGUUCUCUGUGUCGUGCAAAGAGAAGAAGAGAAUCGAAAGUUUCUCGUUUGAAUCGAUAUUAUGCGCUCACGAAUUCUUCCACUAUUUUAUUCGAUCGCUGAACGAAUACCUCGCUUAUCCGAAAAAGCACCAGCCCUUGGGAAUCCAGCUCAAAUUCUCUCGACAAUUCUUUUUAUUAGAAAAGGAGUUUUAUUCGACGUGAUCAUGCGUACAGAAUAUAUAAUACAAUUCACAAUUUGGAUAACACGAUAUUAAUCAACUGCCUGCGGAGAACUUUGCCGGAUGGAGUCUUGGGUAAAGUUUCGACGAAUUUAACACCGCCUCUCAGCCAUUUCUGCGGCGAUAAAUUUCCUAAAAGCAAAAUUGUCGUUCUCGUUAAUAGCGAAUUUCACACUUUGCUUGAACCAUUCAAGCCGUGGACGCAACACUCACUUUUCACGAAAUCCACAAUUUCUUCAGCCGUCACGUUCUGGCCCGGUUGCCUCACCACCACGGCCAUCGGCAACUCUCCGCUCACCUCGUCGGGUUUACCCAACACAGCCACGUCCUUGACACUCGAAUGCGUUAGCAACAAUGCCUCGAUCUCGCUUGGCGCCACUUGGAAACCUUUGUACUUGAUGAUUUCCUUUAUUCGCCCCGUGACGUACAAUCCUCCAUCCUCGGUGAAAUAUCCCAGAUCGCCCGUGUGGAGCCAAUUCCGCUCGUCGAUCGUUUCCGCGGUGCUUUUCGGAUUCUUGUAGUAUCCCAACAUUAUCUGAUCCCCAGCGAAGCAAAUUUCCCCCACUUUCCCCGCCCCAAGCGUCUCCCCCGUCUCCAUGCUCACCACCUUGCACUUGAAACCGGGCAACGGGGGGCCGAUCGAGGCGUCUUUGCACGAUCUCUCGCUCAGAUUCGAUACCACUGUCAAUUCCGUCAUGCCGUAACCGUUCCGUAUAUUUUUCACUUUCGUGCGCCGUUUCAGUUCGUUCGCGAUCUGAAAACGAACGUUGAUUGAGAGAUUUGAGAGAUUCGAUACAAUCGAUUGGUUGAAUCGAUUUUGCAUCGAGAUAUAUCGAGAUAUUUGAAAGGAUAGCUACCAGGAUAGGUGGGACGAGUGGCAAAUGUGUGAUCUUGUACUUUUGAAUGGAGUUCAGUAACUUGUCCGUAUUGUAAUCUCGCAUUAAACACAUGAUCGUAUCGAAGCAUAUGCAAUUGCACAUCAUCCCGAAAGCGUAGCCGUGAAACAGUGGCAAGAAAAUUAUCAUUCGAUCUCCUUGUUGAAGGUUCAAGAAGUUCGGCUUGCUUUAAUGAGAGGAAACGAAUAAAUUGUAAUAAGAUGAGAUAGAUUUAAGUAAAAAAGGGAAGUAUAUUUACUUUUACUUUGGCAACGAAUAAAAUACGUAUAAUGUACAGUUAUACAUAUAUUAUAUAUGUUGUAAUAUUUUUUUAGGGGAUAUUGAAAACGUGGCAAUGCAAUUUACCUUAUACUCUGAAUGAAGGUUAAUAAAUUUCGAUGAGAGAUCAUCACUCCUUUUGGAAAACCCGUUGUGCCGCUAGAACAAAGGAUGACUGCCAUUCUCUUGCUGUCCACUUGCACCGGUGUGAACAUACGAGGACACACGAGGAUAUUUCCAUAUUUUUCCAAAAACACGUUCAACGUUACCACAUUUCCAUCGAGAGCUUCGUCGUCCAAUUCUAUUAAUUUUAUAUCCCAGCUUAAAGUAGACGCGACUUUUACCAAAAGCUUUUCGGUGCGUCGAGAUACGAAUAUCACUCGUGGCUGAUAAAUUUCCAACAUGUGGCUGAAUUCUCCUACGUUGAAAAUUUUCCGUUAAACUCGAAUAUUUUCCAUCAUUUUACAAAGCGUAAUUUCGAAAAUUAUUUAAACUUAUUUAUCGUACAAUUAGAUAUAUUAAUAGAUUGUGGAUGGUUUUGCGCAAAAUACAAUUUUUCUAAACGAGAUUAAAGAAAUGGAGAGUAUUAUAUUCUUCAUAGAUUUUUGUACGUUCAAAUUUGUCUUUAAUAAAUACGCAAACAUCCGCAGUCUAAUUAUUAACUCUUUGCAAACGAGUUUAACUUUCAAUUCGGGUUAUAAAUUCAAGAUCAAAGUAUUUUUAAAAUAAUGGAUAAAAAUACGUAUCGCUUCAAAUUGUAUUACUGGAAACUGAAAUGUCGUAUAAAUUAAAAACCUGAUUUGAUUGAUCGUAACUUUUGUCUGCGAAGGGUUAAUAUUUGAAAUACAUCCAAUCCAAAAAGAAUGAUUGGAUGGAAAAUUAUCGAACUAAAACGAUCGACUUUACUUUCAGUGUAUGCUGGAUUUAAAGGUGCGAACGUAAUUCCGUUGAAAAAUGUGCCACACAUCGCUAUCAUCAGAUUUGGAUGAUUUUCGCUUGUAAGACAAACUCUGUCUUCCAUGUUAAUUCCAUAAUUUCGCAAAGCAAUGCUUAAUCUUAUACUCUUGUCGAGAAUCUCUUUACGCGUGAAACGUGUAUCAGUCUCGAUAUCUAUCUAAAAUGUCAAGAUUAAAUAUUACGCAAGUCAAAUACAUUUCAUAUAUAUAUAUAUUUCCAUAAUGUACUACUUGUCCUUCGAUUGAAUCGCGAUUUAAUAUCUCGUAAUGAUUCAAUCUGCUAUCUCAAAAAAACUUACUUGUACGAUGUCAUUGGGAUUGUUAUGUAAAUUGUUGAACAAAUAUUGCCCUAGAGAAAUAUUUGGAAUUUCUGGCAUUGGCUCGCCAUAAAGUAUAUUAUUUUUUAUAUUCAUUUUUGUUUCAGAUUAUAUCUGCAACAAUAAAAUUCAUCCUGGAGAUUAAUAAAUUUCUUACUUUCUGGAGAUACGCUGAUUUUGCACGUGGAGUGCUGAUUAAGAUUUUUCUAACACUAGCAUGAAGGAGUCCUCCAAAUUGAAAAAAUAAAACAGAAUUGAAGAAUGAAAUCCGCAGGAAUAAAUUUAUAAGUUUCUAAAUAUUUCUACGAGACUAUUUUCAACUAUGUUAUUUGUGUGUUCGCUUGGGUGUUUUUCUUCAAACCUGCAAAAGAUCAAGAAUAGGGCCCGAGGGAAUGGAGUUACCCCUUGAGAGAUAAUCAACCUUGAAUCACUUCUCUCCAAUGCUCUCCCGGGUGCUGUGUGUUCUGGAGAGGAAAUGACCAUCGGUGAAUGAUGGGUUAGGCCCCUGAAUCACCGAGGAUAAUCAUAUCAGGACCCACGACCUUUAGACAAUGACCUUAUAAUGACAUAUUGCCGAUCUAUAAAUUAUAUCUAUAAAUUAGAGAACCUUCCAACUUUCUAACUGUUUAAAGACAAAUUUCCAAGAGCCCUGUCUGCCUGUCAGCCAGACCACAAAGCCAUCCAUCGUUGGGCUUAACAUUAUGGAAACUUGAUUUGAAUCAAAACGGUAGAAAAAUUGGAACCUUUCCUGGAGAUUUCUGGAGAUUUGUUAUUUAAAUUUCGAUGGAAACUUAAACAGUAGAUGGACAUUGAUACAGUUUUUGUUCUCCUUCAACAAAGGAGGACAAACUUUCUAUCAGAUUUGAAAGAAAGGAUCUUUUACUUCAAAUUGGAGUUCAUUGAAUCAUCCUUCGUGUCGAUUAUAAAUAAGUUGACAUUUUUGUUUGAUACAUAAUCUGAAAAAUCUUUUUUAGAUUGCAAACUUACAAAUCGACUUACAAAUUUAUACUCUCUUCUGCUAUUAUAUACGAAUAACAUACGAAUUUACAAUUUACAAUUUAUUGUAAAUUAUUUUUAAAUUCGUUCCAACUUAUUCCUCGAAUAUUACGAAUUAAUGGUGAUUUUUUUUUUCAGGUUCGAUAGGAAGACUUCGAGAGAAAGACUUUGGUAAUACAUCUAUCACUUUCAUACAAGUUCGAUUAUCGAUCUGAAAGAUUACCACGAUCGUUUUCAUUGGCGAAGACAGAGAACUUUAGGAGGACGGUUGAUUGGUUCAGUGGUGGUAUUAGCUUGAACUUCCACGACUGAUCGUGCGAUAGGACCCAAUGUGUAUUCAACCGUAGGAAGAUACGUGGAUUUUGAAUUCGAGGGAUGGCAUUCGCUGAAAUAGAUCGUUCGAGGCGGGAUCUCGAUAGUUUCACCUGUUAAACGUAAUUCGUUCCUCGUCCUUCGAUAAGAUUCAAUAAGAUUCCGAUCCUCUUCGAUUCGUCCAUUUAAUUUCACUAUUAUAAGAACACUUGUACUUUAACUUUUAAUCUUUGCACGAUUCGUUGCACGAUUUUACGCGUAAUUUAUCUUUCGCUCUGAUGAAAAGAAUAUUUAUAUCGAUCAGACGAGUCAAUUAUCGCGAAUAGAAAAAAAAACGAGAAAUUUUUCCUUUCGAAAGUUACUCUUUUUUUGUUUUAAUUAAGAAGAAUAAAAGUACGGGUGCUUAUAAUAUUAAAUUAUCGUGGGACGGAUGAAAAAUCGGAUAAAUCGGAGGAAAAGCUCGAUAUCAGGACGGAAACGUCUCAUUGACAAAUUGUUUUCCUUCGGUAUCGACUGGUUUCGGUGGCCUGCAGGGAGCAGAAGAGCGGAAGACGGAAAAAUAUUUUUGUUUGCACAUAGUAGAAAUGAAACGAUACGAUUUUAUUUUGACACAAACCGGAGAACCAAUUCUCUCCGCUAUCAAUAAUAAUCUUUUUCGAUCGCAAACAUUCGACUGCAUGACAGGGAGAGGGAUGGAAAUGCGCGGAGAAGACGAUCGAAUCGAAUUAAUUUCUUUCCUUUUUUGUUCUUUUAUUAUUUUUUUUCUUUUGAAACGUGAAUUAUAAACGCGUUAUUUCACGCUUGUUAAACGCGUUAAUAUUUUUUUGCUGCCUAUACUCGGAUAUCGUCCCUCGCAUUUCUCUCUCUCUCUCUCCGAGAAAUCCCAUUGGAAAUCCUUCAAAUAUUCGAGGAUGGUAAAAUGGUGAAACGCGAAGUAGGAAUCCGUUCUUGGAAGUCGGAAUGCCGAGAAAUCGCUGUUCAGGCUCAGUCGACGUAGAUGUGAAAUUGGAUCGAAGAUCUGCGCUCGAUGUAUAGGAAACGCGGUUCCACCGAACGUUCGUACCCAUAUGACCGUGUAAAUUGUUCACGAAAACUUCUUAUCGUCCGAUUCGAUAAAGAUAAACACCCGACUCUCUACACUAUAUACAUUUAAAUAUGAAAGGGCAAGCUUCGAAUUAGUUCUUAAGAGAGAUUACGCAUUCGCUGUAUCGAGUGUUUUACAAUCUCUUUCUUCGAAUAUCGUAACAAAUUUUAACUUUUAUCCAAAGAAAUCGAUCGAUUUCACUUUUCAUCUUCGCAUCGAAUUGGACGAUCGAACGACGUCUCACGACGUCUCGAGUAUCGCGGUGGGCAGAGGGAGAGGUGGGAAACUGGGGUGACUAGGAGUCGGAGAGGUUAGUUUGAUCGGGUGGCAGGGGAAGAUGGGUAUGAGAGCGCGUGCCACUCUGAUUGUAGCGACCAUACUGGGACGCAUACCUACGAUUCUUGGUUUCGUGCGGCGUGCCUAGACACCCCGAGAAUACUUAUCGCUCGGACCGAGCCGAGCUAACCGCUAUCAUUUAAAAGAGAGUUUACGAUUCGACCGACUUUCCGUGCUAUUUAAUUCUCGAUUAAAAGUGUCUCGAAUUUCAUUUCUUCUUCAAAUAUAUUCACUAGUCUUUCGAAUUUGUCGAUUGAUUUACGAGGAUAUUUGGUUCUUUUUUCUUUUUUCCGGUAGGAGAGUGAAAAUAAAGCGAACAUUUUUAAAAAGUAAUUUUUACGACCUUUUGAAACAAAAAGAAAAAUUUAUAAAAGAAAAUGUUGAUCGUGUUAUUAAGAAAGGGAUAUUUAAUCUCGCGGUAUUUAAAAUUUAGACGAAUCGAGAGGAUCGUGAGGCGUGUUACCAUCUGAAAAAAUGUAUCGAUCGAGCAAAGAGUUCGUUUAUUACGCUUGUUUCUUUUUUCUUUUUUUUUUUUUAUUUUUUCGACGAGAUUCACGGCGAGUGUAAAAUGGAAUAUACGAAAUAUAUGAAUAUAUAUUUCGUCUCUGGUAUAAUUUGGUACGCGAGUAAAAGGCUCGGUUCAAAUAACAUUAACCUCUCCGACUCUCGGUGCGUGGAGAUGCGGGCACAAAGAAAUAUUUUACACGCGUACAUUACAGCGGGGGGGAAAAAAAUUGAAUUUCACUUUUAAAAAAUUCACCUCGAGACUUCUAUUCGAUCCUAGGUUUUAAAAAUCUCAGCCAGGCCGCGGCGCGCAUUCAUUUACGCGACAAAGAGCUUUUACAACACGUUUCGAGGCGAGUUUAAAGGUUGGAAAAGAUCCGGUUCGAAAAAGCUUUCUUCCCUUCUUUAUCUAAAUCGCUUUUAAUCGACUGUUUAGCCCACUGCGCUUGUAUUUUUCACUUCGAUCAAAGGGAAUAUACGGCAAACUUUCGUCUCGAAAAAAAUAUUUACGAACGGUGUCGAAUACGCGCGUGAAAAAUCUCGCAGAGCCUUGAACCAUCCAAUCUAAAAUUCGUGUAGACUCGCUUGCACGCGCCACCAUUUCGAGUAUUAAUCCCUUUAUAUUCUUCCAUACGAUUAAAUACUGAGAAUUUUCAAGAGGGGGAAAUUAUGAUUCGUAAUUGUAUCUUGUAUAUGGAUUCGUUCUCCACUCGACGAGGGUCAAAUUAAGAGUCUCGAAUAUUUCGAAUCCGCUUCGAAUUUUCGAAUCGAUCGAUCGCUACUCGAUUCGAGCCGUGGAAAAUAAAAAGAGUGAGAAAAACGUUGAUCCGUUGAAAAAAAUAUUUAAAAAUUUCGAACAAAGUAAUAAAUAAAUUAUCUAUUAAAAUACUUAUGAACAACAUUUAUUCAGCUAUCAUACUCGAUCCGUUUCUCGUAUAAUUUCAACCAAUUUAGUGCAUCGCAAAAUUAUUUUCGAUUAUUAUUAUGUUCUGAACGAUAAAUUAUUAAAGUAACAUUUAUUAUUCGCAACUUGGACUGUUAAUAUUUUCCUGCUCGUCACAGGCGCGGAACCGUGAGAUUUCUCCUCGAGAGGGGGAGGAGGAUGAAAAAUCAGCGGCGACAUUGAGACGCGUGGAGGAGCAAUCGGCCCCGAUUGUUCCAUCUUCCGCUCUCCGUAUUAACGUAAGGCCGCGACUUAACGGAAUUAACGAGACGAGGUGUCUGGGUGGGGGAAGGGUUGGAAACGCAGCGUCGGGAUUUUGAUAACAUGUGACUUUAUCUGGAAUUGCCGAGCGCGCAGGUAGCCUGUUUACUUAAGAUAAUAGCGAAGCGGAGUGGCGGAGAGGAGGCGGGAGUCGGCGGUGGGAGGAACGAGGAAAGAACGCGUCGACGAGUGGAAUAGUAGACGGCGGAGGGAGAGAGGGGGUAAGAAGGGAAGGUUGUGCUUUGCCGCACAAGCGGAAGCGGCUAAGGACGGUGUAAAAGCGGAAGAAGAGGGAAAAUGGAGGAAGAAGAGGGAGGGAAGGUGAGAUUCUCCGGGCUACAAGAACUUCAUUUUCCAACCCAUUACGCCCCGCCACCCUUUACCCUCUUCGAUUAAUUUAUAUCGAAAUUUUAAACGACAUUCAUCGUCCCCAACCCGAACGAUAAAUAACGCUACUAGAUUUUUCUACUACUUUCGUCUUUUCUUCGCUUGCUUCUUCCCCCUCCCUCUCUCUCUCUCUCUCUUUCUCUCCGUGUCCCGUGUAUUGGAGAAAAAAGCUCUGGAACGAAGGAUCUGGCUAUAGAAUAUAUUUUGAAAUAAUAGAAAGGAAGCAAAUUAUAAUAAAUAAAUAACGAUAGAAAUAUGUUACGAUGUAAGAUAGGUUAAAAUUAAUUCAUAAAUGUCAGUUGGCUAGAUUCCUCACUAGGUGGCGUGCGUUCGAUCGUAUCUGUGUAUAUCAUGGGCGAUCAUAAACAUUUAUUUUAAUAUGAUUUUGCAAAAUUUUGCGAAUCGAAUGUGACAAUAAAAAAAAAAGCAGAAAGUUUCUAUUUUUCAUAUUUGUUCAUUACAUCGUGAGAAUUUCUAAUACGAAGUAGUUACUUAUAUUCAAGUUUAUAAAAAAAAAAAAUUUUAAUUUAUACAACGGUUUAAAUUAAAAUCGAUAUUUCGUGACGUUAUAUCCGUUAAAUGCUUCUUAAAAAAUUUAUAGAAUAUUUUCUCAAUUAUUGAAACGUGAUCGAUCGAAAUUAUCGAUUAGUUCUCUAUCUAUCUACACAAAUAUUUCGUUUAAUUUGUAAAUGUUCAAAAAGAGGAUUUAAAAAUUUUAAUGUAUUUGUUAUGCAUUACAUUGAAACAAUUAUUUUUUAUACAUUUUUGAAAUUUAAUUAAUAUACAUUAAUUAUUACAGCGGCACAACAACGAUCCCUUUUAUAAUAAUUGCCACGAUAUUCCACGGAAUAGAUCCUUUUACAUUCUCUUUUACGCGAGGAAAGAAAGUUUCGUUUCUUUCUUCGCGCAAAUUUUCACGAUCCACUAUAUUUCGAUAAAGGUCAUUGAAAAGUUACACGCGAUAUCAUGCUUUUGAUAUUUCUCACGCUAUUUUUAUUAUAGAUAAAAUAAUAAAAAAAAAAUAUUUUUCUCGUAACUUUAUCGAUAAUUUCAGUGAGUUUAAAACGAUCGGUCGAAAUUUGUCUCUGUCGAAAUCCGUGAUAACUUCGAUAGCUCCGUGU
This is a long non-coding RNA of Apis cerana (Asiatic honeybee), 9644 nucleotides long. RefSeq lists it as uncharacterized. The record is from RefSeq and is a predicted model, not a curated record. NCBI's taxonomy places the organism in Eukaryota, Metazoa, Arthropoda, Insecta, Hymenoptera, Apidae.